UUCCUGUCGGAGUCAGACGAGAAUUACAACGGCGUCUCCGACGUGGAGCUGCGGGUGGCGCUCCCGGACGUCACCACGGUGACAGUGAGGGUGAAGAAGAACAGCACCACGGACCAGGUGUACCAGGGAAUUCCUGGCAAUGCCCGGCUGGCGCUGAUCCCGUUUUCCCGGCGUUUUCCAGGCGGUGGCUGCCAAGGUGGGCAUGGACAGCGUCACCGCCAACUACUUCGCCCUCUUCGAGGUCAUCAACCACUCCUUCGGUGAGCCCGGAAUUCUGUGGGAUUUAGGGAAAAAAAAUUAAAAAAAAAAGCUGGGAAAAAACAAAAAAUGGAGGGAUCUGCAGGUCUUUGGGGUGGGAUUGUGGGAUUUGUGGGGCUCCUGCCAUCCCAAGCUGCUGCAGCCUCGUUUGGGAUGAUUCCAUGAUUUUUCUGGGAUUUUUUUCCCUGCUUUUCCCA
Molecule: long non-coding RNA, 455 nt
Filed under: Zonotrichia albicollis (white-throated sparrow)
Lineage: Eukaryota; Metazoa; Chordata; Aves; Passeriformes; Passerellidae
Description: lncRNA (ENSZALG00000009269.1)
Source: RNAcentral